AUUGAACGCUGGCGGCAGGCCUAACACAUGCAAGUCGAGCGGAUGAAGGGAGCUUGCUCCUGGAUUCAGCGGCGGACGGGUGAGUAAUGCCUAGGAAUCUGCCUGGUAGUGGGGGAUAACGUCCGGAAACGGGCGCUAAUACUGCAUACGUCCUGAGGGAGAAAGUGGGGGAUCUUCGGACCUCACGCUAUCAGAUGAGCCUAGGUCGGAUUAGCUAGUUGGUGGGGUAAAGGCCUACCAAGGCGACGAUCCGUACUGGUCUGAGAGGAUGAUCAGUCACACUGGAACUGAGACACGGUCCAGACUCCUACGGGAGGCAGCAGUGGGGAAUAUUGGACAAUGGGCGAAAGCCUGAUGCAGCCAUGCCGCGUGUGUGAAGAAGGUCUUCGGAUUGUAAAGCACUUUAAGUUGGGAGGAAGGGCAGUAAGUUAAUACCUUGCUGUUUUGACGUUACCAACAGAAUAAGCACCGGCUAACUUCGUG
RNAcentral lists this ribosomal RNA (483 nucleotides) under uncultured bacterium. Its description in RNAcentral is "partial 16S ribosomal RNA". It matches the Rfam family "Bacterial small subunit ribosomal RNA", at positions 30 to 507 of the family's 1533-position model. The record is from RNAcentral.